Molecule: ribosomal RNA, 324 nt
Filed under: uncultured bacterium
Lineage: Bacteria
Description: bacterial SSU rRNA
Rfam family: Bacterial small subunit ribosomal RNA
Source: RNAcentral
GACGAACGCUGGCGGCGUGCUUAACACAUGCAAGUCGAGCGGUAAGGCCCUUUCGGGGGUACACGAGCGGCGAACGGGUGAGUAACACGUGGGUGACCUGCCCUCAGCUCUGGGAUAAGCCUGGGAAACCGGGUCUAAUACCGGAUAUGACUCCAUGACGCAUGUUGUGGGGUGGAAAGCCUUGUGCGGCUGAGGAUGGGCCCGCGGCCUAUCAGCUUGUUGGUGGGGUGANGGCCUACCAAGGCGACGACGGGUAGCCGGCCUGAGAGGGCGACCGGCCACACUGGGACUGAGACACGGCCCAGACUCCUACGGGAGGCAGCA